AGCGAACGUUAGCGGCGGGCCUAACACAUGCAAGUCGAGCGAGAAAGUGGCUUCGGCCAUCAGUAAAGCGGCGGACGGGUGAGUAACACGUAGGUAAUCUUCCCUUGAGCGGGGGACAACGAGCCGAAAGGCUCGCUAAUACCGCAUACGUUCCCAGAGACCUCGGUCUUUGGGAGGAAAGCUAGGUAGCAAUAUCCGGCACUCGAGGAGGAGCCUGCGUCGCAUCAGCUAGUUGGUGGGGUAACGGCCUACCAAGGCGAAGGCGCGUAGCUGGUCUGAGAGGAUGAUCAGCCACACUGAAACUGAGACACGGUUCAGACUCCUACGGGAGGCAGCAGUGGGGAAUAUUGGACAAUGGGCGCAAGCCUGAUCCAGCCACGCCGCGUGAGUGAUGAAGGCCUUCGGGUCGUAAAGCUCUGUGGGGAGGGACGAACCGCUGUCGGUUAAUACCCGGCAGCAUGACGGUACCUCCUUAGCAAGCACCGGCUAACUUCGUGCCAGCCGCCGCGGUAA
RNAcentral lists this ribosomal RNA (513 nucleotides) under uncultured bacterium. Its description in RNAcentral is "partial 16S ribosomal RNA". It matches the Rfam family "Bacterial small subunit ribosomal RNA", at positions 29 to 523 of the family's 1533-position model. The record is from RNAcentral.